Molecule: ribosomal RNA, 500 nt
Filed under: uncultured bacterium
Lineage: Bacteria
Description: partial 16S ribosomal RNA
Rfam family: Bacterial small subunit ribosomal RNA
Source: RNAcentral
GAUGAACGCUGGCGGCGUGCUUAACACAUGCAAGUCGAGCGGAUGACGGGAGCUUGCUCCUUGAUUCAGCGGCGGACGGGUGAGUAAUGCCUAGGAAUCUGCCUGGUAGUGGGGGACAACGUUUCGAAAGGAACGCUAAUACCGCAUACGUCCUACGGGAGAAAGCAGGGGACCUUCGGGCCUUGCGCUAUCAGAUGAGCCUAGGUCGGAUUAGCUAGUUGGUGGGGUAAUGGCUCACCAAGGCGACGAUCCGUAACUGGUCUGAGAGGAUGAUCAGUCACACUGGAACUGAGACACGGUCCAGACUCCUACGGGAGUCAGCAGUGGGGAAUAUUGGACAAUGGGCGAAAGCCUGAUCCAGCCAUGCCGCGUGUGUGAAGAAGGUCUUCGGAUUGUAAAGCACUUUAAGUUGGGAGGAAGGGCAGUAAGUUAAUACCUUGCUGUUUUGACGUUACCGGCAGAAUAAGCACCGGCUAACUCUGUGCCAGCCGCCGCAGUAA